Molecule: ribosomal RNA, 468 nt
Filed under: uncultured bacterium
Lineage: Bacteria
Description: partial 16S ribosomal RNA
Rfam family: Bacterial small subunit ribosomal RNA
Source: RNAcentral
GACGAACGCUGGCGGCGUGCUUAACACAUGCAAGUCGAACGGAAAGGCCCUGCUUUUGUGGUGUGCUCGAGUGGCGAACGGGUGAGUAACACGUGAGUAACCUGCUCUUUACUUUGGGAUAACUACAGGAAACUGGGGCUAAUACCGGAUAGGAGCUCCUGCUGCAUGGUGGGGGUUGGAAAGUUUCGGCGGUUGGGGAUGGACUCGCGGCUGAUCAGCUUGUGGGUGGGGUAGUGGAUUACCAAGGCUUUGACGGGUAGCCGGCCUGAGAGGGUGACCGGCCACAUUGGGACAGAGAUGCGGCCCAGACUGAUACGGGAGGCAGCAGUGGGGAAUAUUGCGCAAUGGGCGGAAGCCUGAUGCAGCAACGCCGCGUGCGGGAUGACGGCCUUCGGGUUGUAAACCGCUUUCGCCUGUGACGAAGCGUGAGUGACGGUAAUGGGUAAAGAAGCACCGGCUAACUACGUG